UAUUCCAUAAAAAUCUCCCCCUUAAAAUCUGUUUUUUGGUUUUUUAUAGCCAUUUUACAAUAUUAUUUUUUUUAUUUUUCUACUGUUCUUAUUACUGUUUUUUGCGUGUUGCUUCUUCUUUGCAUGUGGCUCUGGAGUCAACCAACAGUGGCAGAGGAGUUGAUGCUGGCAGAAAGGUGUCAAACAGCACGUGGAGGCGACGACGCAAAGAAGCUAGGGUUUCUGCCCAUUUUUUUCUUUUCUGAAAAUGUUAAUUGUUUUGGGUUGUUUGGGCCAUCAGGAUUUUUAGGGAUGGUAGUUUUUUUUUUUUUUUGUAAUUGGACUGUGGACAUUAGGCUUUGGUUGUUAUUUUGGUUUGGUUUGUAAUUUAUUUGUAAAUUAAGCCCGGGCGAAAUUGGGCCACUACAACUUCAGGGAGAUAGGAUUAAUAGCUUCAAUCUGCUCCACUGCAACUUCAGGGAGAUAAGAUUGGUAUCUUCAACCUGUUCCACUGCAACUUCAGGGAGAUAAGAUUGGUUUAUUUUUAACCUGUUCCACU
Molecule: long non-coding RNA, 538 nt
Filed under: Gossypium raimondii (Peruvian cotton)
Lineage: Eukaryota; Viridiplantae; Streptophyta; Magnoliopsida; Malvales; Malvaceae
Description: long non-coding RNA (GRAI_LNC007208)
Source: RNAcentral